UACGUAGGGUGCGAGCGUUAAUCGGAAUUACUGGGCGUAAAGCGUGCGCAGGCGGUUUUGUAAGCCAGAUGUGAAAUCCCCAGGCUUAACCUGGGAACUGCAUCCGAUACUGGAUGGCUUGAAUUCGGGAGAGGGAUGCAGAAUUCCAGGUGUAGCGGUGAAAUGCGUAGAUAUCUGGAGGAAUACCGGUGGCGAAGGCGGCAUCCUGGACCGACAUUGACGCUGAACGGCGAAAGCUAGGGGAGCAAACGGG
RNAcentral lists this ribosomal RNA (253 nucleotides) under uncultured bacterium. Its description in RNAcentral is "partial 16S ribosomal RNA". It matches the Rfam family "Bacterial small subunit ribosomal RNA", at positions 524 to 776 of the family's 1533-position model. The record is from RNAcentral.